RNAcentral lists this ribosomal RNA (557 nucleotides) under Sphingobacteriales bacterium BvORR141. RNAcentral's name for it is "bacterial SSU rRNA". It matches the Rfam family "Bacterial small subunit ribosomal RNA", at positions 102 to 694 of the family's 1533-position model. Lineage: Bacteria; Pseudomonadati; Bacteroidota; Sphingobacteriia; Sphingobacteriales. The record is from RNAcentral.
ACGGGUGCGUAACGCGUGGGAACCUGCCCUUAGGUUCGGAAUAACUCAGAGAAAUUUGAGCUAAUACCGGAUAAUGUCUUCGGACCAAAGAUUUAUCGCCUUUGGAUGGGCCCGCGUAGGAUUAGCUUGUUGGUGGGGUAAUGGCCUACCAAGGCGACGAUCCUUAGCUGGUCUGAGAGGAUGAUCAGCCACACUGGGACUGAGACACGGCCCAGACUCCUACGGGAGGCAGCAGUGGGGAAUAUUGGACAAUGGGCGAAAGCCUGAUCCAGCAAUGCCGCGUGAGUGAUGAAGGCCUUAGGGUUGUAAAGCUCUUUUACCAGGGAUGAUAAUGACAGUACCUGGAGAAUAAGCUCCGGCUAACUCCGUGCCAGCAGCCGCGGUAAUACGGAGGGAGCUAGCGUUGUUCGGAAUUACUGGGCGUAAAGCGCACGUAGGCGGCGAUUCAAGUCAGAGGUGAAAGCCCGGGGCUCAACCCCGGAACUGCCUUUGAAACUAGAUCGCUAGAAUCCUGGAGAGGUUAGUGGAAUUCCGAGUGUAGAGGUGAAAUUCGUAGA